UACGUAGGAUGCAAGCGUUGUUCGGAAUUACUGGGCGUAAAGGGCUCGUAGGUGGCCAACUAAGUCGGACGUGAAAUCCCUCGGCUUAACCGGGGAACUGCGUCUGAUACUGGAUGGCUUGAGUUCGGGAGAGGGAUGCGGAAUUCCAGGUGUAGCGGUGAAAUGCGUAGAUAUCUGGAGGAACACCGGUGGCGAAGGCGGCAUCCUGGACCGACACUGACGCUGAGGAGCGAAAGCCAGGGGAGCAAACGGG
RNAcentral lists this ribosomal RNA (253 nucleotides) under uncultured bacterium. RNAcentral describes it as "partial 16S ribosomal RNA". It matches the Rfam family "Bacterial small subunit ribosomal RNA", at positions 524 to 776 of the family's 1533-position model. The record is from RNAcentral.